RNAcentral lists this ribosomal RNA (252 nucleotides) under uncultured bacterium. Its description in RNAcentral is "partial 16S ribosomal RNA". It matches the Rfam family "Bacterial small subunit ribosomal RNA", at positions 524 to 775 of the family's 1533-position model. The record is from RNAcentral.
UACAGAGGGUGCAAGCGUUAAUCGGAAUUACUGGGCGUAAAGCGUGCGUAGACGGUUAUGUAAGUCAGGUGUGAAAGCCCCGGGCUCAACCUGGGAAUUGCAUUUGAGACUGCAUAGCUAGGGUACGGAAGAGGGAAGUGGAAUUUCCGGUGUAGCGGUGAAAUGCGUAGAUAUCGGAAGGAACACCAGUGGCGAAAGCGACUUCCUGGUCGAAUACUGACGUUCAUGUGCGAAAGCGUGGGGAGCAAACAG